GAGGGUGUAGCUCAAGUGGUAGAGCGCAUGCUUGGCAGGCACUAGGUCCGGGGUUCAAUCCCCAGUACUGUCU
This 73-nucleotide transfer RNA is filed under the name Camelus bactrianus (Bactrian camel). It matches the Rfam family "tRNA". From Rfam's summary of the family: Transfer RNA (tRNA) molecules are approximately 80 nucleotides in length. Lineage: Eukaryota; Metazoa; Chordata; Mammalia; Artiodactyla; Camelidae. The record is from Rfam by way of RNAcentral. RNAcentral also lists the same sequence under 1 other name.